CGCGUAGGCGGGAUGGCAAGUCGGUCGUGAAAUCCUUCGGCUCAACCGAAGAACGUCGGCCGGUACUGCCGUUCUUGAGGGAUGCAGAGGAGACUGGAAUUCCCGGUGUAGCGGUGAAAUGUGUAGAGAUCGGGAGGAACACCGGUGGCGAAGGCGGGUCUCUGGGCAUCUCCUGACGCUGAGGCGCGAAAGCGUGGGGAGCAAACGGGAUUAGAUACCCCGGUAGUCCACGCCAUAAACGAUGACGACUAGGUGUGGGGUGGUUCAGUCCACUCCGUGCCGCAGCUAACGCAUUAAGUCGUCCGCCUGGGGAGUACGGCCGCAAGGUUGAA
RNAcentral lists this ribosomal RNA (332 nucleotides) under uncultured bacterium. RNAcentral describes it as "bacterial SSU rRNA". It matches the Rfam family "Bacterial small subunit ribosomal RNA", at positions 568 to 898 of the family's 1533-position model. The record is from RNAcentral.